AGGUCUUGAGACAUAGUGACUGGGUAUGGAGCCUAGCUCCACAUGACACUACGGUAGCUAGCACAUCAGGUUCAGAUGUGUAUGUUUGGGACACUUGUAGUGGGACUCUGCUUACUGUCAUUAAUCAUGCUCAUGUUGGUAACACUUAUUCUCUGGCAAGAAGCCACACAGGGGACUUUCUUUUUACUGGAGGAGAAGAUGGGGCAAUACAUAUGUUUGAGAUCAUAGGUCACCGUCACAUGGCAAAUGUUUUUAAGGUUGCUACUUGGAUUCCUCACUCUGGUCCUGUGUAUUCCCUUGCGUUCGAAUUUCCAUGGUUGAUUUCAGCUUCUAGUGAUGGUAAGUUGUCACUGAUAGAUGUUAGAAAACUACCAAGGACAAGCAGACGCUCCUUGGGAAAGAAUAUUUCAAGGGCUAAAAAUGUGGACUGCAGUGUGGAACC
This 442-nucleotide unclassified non-coding RNA is filed under the name Hevea brasiliensis (rubber tree). Lineage: Eukaryota; Viridiplantae; Streptophyta; Magnoliopsida; Malpighiales; Euphorbiaceae. The record is from RNAcentral.